This is a long non-coding RNA of Stomoxys calcitrans (stable fly), 726 nucleotides long. RefSeq lists it as uncharacterized. Lineage: Eukaryota; Metazoa; Arthropoda; Insecta; Diptera; Muscidae. The record is from RefSeq and is a predicted model, not a curated record. The transcript has 2 exons.
GCUUAGGUGUAUGUCCAUAGUGGCAUGGGCGGAUUAAUGCCUGCACCUUCUUUUCAACUUAACCUAACCUAAUUUCUGUCGAACUUCACAUACCCACCACCACGAAAAUAGUUGGAACCUGGUUAAAUGAGCUCCAAAAAUCUCAUCACGAGGUCGUCUUUAUGGCAACUUUGCCAAAAUAUGGUCCGAUUUAACCCUAUUUGACGUGGAGUCUUAGCUAAGCCUGGUAGCUUUGUCAAGACAUAAUCUAACAUAACCUGCCUAUUGUAAAACAUUAUCUGCUUCAAAUUUUAGCUCUAUACAUUUAAUUUUAAGGACUGUACUACGAUUGACAGACUUGAAAAUGUACGACAAUCAUGAAUAUACAUACAGAGAAUGACAGAAAAAUUAUGUUCUUCGUUAUUGUUUUGUUUAAUAAUUGAUUUUGGAAAAGAAAAAAUCCUUUUCAAAAUUUGGGAAAAUCGUCACUCUGCAAUUUUUGAAGCAAAGCAAAUCAUUUUUUGUACUGAAUGAUUAGUGUUCUGCAAAAAAAAACGAUGCGUAUAUUCCUGCGCAUUCGUUGCAGUCUCAACAUCAACUGAAACAAAGAGCAUUAGAACGCGUGUGAGUAGCCAUCAACGCUACCGUAAGGGGCUGGACAUCGCUGCUCUACAAUGACUCAUGCUGCCAAGAUUAUAGAGCUUACCAUCAAUGCCUACACUCAAAUAAAGAUUUACUCAAACUUAA